UACGGGGGGGGCAAGCGUUGUUCGGAAUUACUGGGCGUAAAGGGCUCGUAGGUGGCCAACUAAGUCAGACGUGAAAUCCCUCGGCUUAACCGGGGAACUGCGUCUGAUACUGGAUGACUUGAGUUCGGGAGAGGGAUGCGGAAUUCCAGGUGUAGCGGUGAAAUGCGUAGAUAUCUGGAGGAACACCGGUGGCGAAGGCGGCAUCCUGGACUGACACUGACGCUGAGGAGCGAAAGCGUGGGGAGCGAACAGG
This 253-nucleotide ribosomal RNA is filed under the name uncultured bacterium. RNAcentral describes it as "partial 16S ribosomal RNA". It matches the Rfam family "Bacterial small subunit ribosomal RNA", at positions 524 to 776 of the family's 1533-position model. The record is from RNAcentral.